RNAcentral lists this transfer RNA (75 nucleotides) under Hymenobacter jejuensis. Its description in RNAcentral is "tRNA-Arg". It matches the Rfam family "tRNA". Rfam says of the family: Transfer RNA (tRNA) molecules are approximately 80 nucleotides in length. Their secondary structure includes four short double-helical elements and three loops (D, anti-codon, and T loops). The record is from RNAcentral. Lineage: Bacteria; Pseudomonadati; Bacteroidota; Cytophagia; Cytophagales; Hymenobacteraceae.
GGCCCCGUAGUUCAACGGAUAGAAUAGAAGUUUCCUAAACUUUUGAUGUGGGUUCGAUUCCCGCCGGGGCUACUA